This 253-nucleotide ribosomal RNA is filed under the name uncultured bacterium. Its description in RNAcentral is "partial 16S ribosomal RNA". It matches the Rfam family "Bacterial small subunit ribosomal RNA", at positions 524 to 776 of the family's 1533-position model. The record is from RNAcentral.
UACGUAGGGGGCUAGCGUUGUCCGGAAUCAUUGGGCGUAAAGAGCGUGUAGGCGGCUCGGUAAGUCCGCUGUGAAAGUCCAGGGCUCAACCCUGGAAUGCCAGUGGAAACUGUCGAGCUAGAGUCCGGAAGAGGCGAGUGGAAUUCCUGGUGUAGCGGUGAAAUGCGCAGAUAUCAGGAGGAACACCGAUGGCGAAGGCAGGUCACUGGGCCGCAACUGACGCUGAGGAGCGAAAGCAUGGGGAGCGAACAGG